UUUUAUGUAUAUAGAUUACGCUUACGCACUCACGAAAGGUAUAAUAUGGAACUAGUCUAUCAAAGUAGCUCGUCUAUUUAAACAAAGUCAAAUUU
Molecule: long non-coding RNA, 95 nt
Organism: Melitaea cinxia (Glanville fritillary)
Lineage: Eukaryota; Metazoa; Arthropoda; Insecta; Lepidoptera; Nymphalidae
Exons: 3
Source: RefSeq, a predicted model, not a curated record